Molecule: ribosomal RNA, 460 nt
Filed under: uncultured bacterium
Lineage: Bacteria
Description: partial 16S ribosomal RNA
Rfam family: Bacterial small subunit ribosomal RNA
Source: RNAcentral
CCUACGGGUGGCAGCAGUGAGGAAUAUUGGUCAAUGGACGCAAGUCUGAACCAGCCAUGCCGCGUGCAGGAAGACGGCUCUAUGAGUUGUAAACUGCUUUUGUACGAGGGUAAACGCAGAUACGCGUAUCUGUCUGAAAGUAUCGUACGAAUAAGGAUCGGCUAACUCCGUGCCAGCAGCCGCGGUAAUACGGAGGAUUCAAGCGUUAUCCGGAUUUAUUGGGUUUAAAGGGUGCGUAGGCGGUCGGAUAAGUUAGAGGUGAAAUCCCGAGGCUCAACUUCGGAAUUGCCUAUGAUACUGUUCGUCUAGAGAGUAGUUGAGGUAGGCGGAAUGUACGGUGUAGCGGUGAAAUGCUUAGAGAUCAUACAGAACACCGAUUGCGAAGGCAGCUUACCAAGCUACUUCUGACGUUGAGGCACGAAAGCGUGGGGAGCAAACAGGAUUAGAAACCCCUGUAGUC